AACGAACGCUGGCGGCAGGCUUAACACAUGCAAGUCGAGCGAGACCUUCGGGUCUAGCGGCGGACGGGUGAGUAACGCGUGGGAACGUGCCCUUCUCUACGGAAUAGCCCCGGGAAACUGGGAGUAAUACCGUAUACGCCCUUUGGGGGAAAGAUUUAUCGGAGAAGGAUCGGCCCGCGUUGGAUUAGGUAGUUGGUGGGGUAAUGGCCCACCAAGCCGACGAUCCAUAGCUGGUUUGAGAGGAUGAUCAGCCACACUGGGACUGAGACACGGCCCAGACUCCUACGGGAGGCAGCAGUGGGGAAUCUUAGACAAUGGGGGCAACCCUGAUCUAGCCAGGCCGCGUGAGUGAUGAAGGCCUUAGGGUUGUAAAGCUCUUUCAGCUGGGAAGAUAAUGACGGUACCAGCAGAAGAAGCCCCGGCUAACUCCGUG
RNAcentral lists this ribosomal RNA (433 nucleotides) under uncultured bacterium. RNAcentral's name for it is "partial 16S ribosomal RNA". It matches the Rfam family "Bacterial small subunit ribosomal RNA", at positions 29 to 507 of the family's 1533-position model. The record is from RNAcentral.